Molecule: non-coding RNA, 25 nt
Filed under: Mus musculus (house mouse)
Lineage: Eukaryota; Metazoa; Chordata; Mammalia; Rodentia; Muridae
Source: RNAcentral
AUUGAUAUAGAAGUGCUGACAUUGA